AACGAACGCUGGCGGCAUGCCUAACACAUGCAAGUCGAACGAGAUCUUCGGGUCUAGUGGCGCACGGGUGCGUAACGCGUGGGAAUCUGCCCAUUGGUUCGGAAUAACAGUUGGAAACGACUGCUAAUACCGGAUGAUGACGAAAGUCCAAAGAUUUAUCGGCAGAGGAUGAGCCCGCGUAGGAUUAGCUAGUUGGUGUGGUAAAGGCGAACCAAGGCGACGAUCCUUAGCUUGUCUGAGAGGAUGAUAAGCCACACUGGGACUGAGACACGGCCCAGACUCCUACGGGAGGCAGCAGUGGGAAAUAUUGGACAAUGGGCGAAAGCCUGAUCCAGCAAUGCCGCGUGAGUGAUGUAGGCCUUAGGGUUGUAAGGCUCUUUUACCCGGGAUGAUAAAGACAGUACCGGGAGAAUAAGCUCCGGCUAACUCCGUGCCAGCCGCCGCAGUAA
Molecule: ribosomal RNA, 449 nt
Filed under: uncultured bacterium
Lineage: Bacteria
Description: partial 16S ribosomal RNA
Rfam family: Bacterial small subunit ribosomal RNA
Source: RNAcentral